GCGUCCGUAGCUCAGUUGGUUAGAGCACCACCUUGACAUGGUGGGGGUCGGUGGUUCGAGUCCACUCGGAGUCG
Molecule: transfer RNA, 74 nt
Filed under: Yersinia ruckeri
Lineage: Bacteria; Pseudomonadati; Pseudomonadota; Gammaproteobacteria; Enterobacterales; Yersiniaceae
Description: tRNA-Val
Rfam family: tRNA
About the family: Transfer RNA (tRNA) molecules are approximately 80 nucleotides in length. Their secondary structure includes four short double-helical elements and three loops (D, anti-codon, and T loops).
Source: RNAcentral